RNAcentral lists this ribosomal RNA (465 nucleotides) under Vreelandella stevensii. Its description in RNAcentral is "partial 16S ribosomal RNA". It matches the Rfam family "Bacterial small subunit ribosomal RNA", at positions 338 to 795 of the family's 1533-position model. The record is from RNAcentral. Lineage: Bacteria; Pseudomonadati; Pseudomonadota; Gammaproteobacteria; Oceanospirillales; Halomonadaceae.
CCUACGGGAGGCUGCAGUGGGGAAUAUUGGACAAUGGGGGGAACCCUGAUCCAGCCAUGCCGCGUGUGUGAAGAAGGCCCUCGGGUUGUAAAGCACUUUCAGUGAGGAAGAACGCCUGGUGGUUAAUACCCAUCAGGAAAGACAUCACUCACAGAAGAAGCACCGGCUAACUCCGUGCCAGCAGCCGCGGUAAUACGGAGGGUGCGAGCGUUAAUCGGAAUUACUGGGCGUAAAGCGCGCGUAGGUGGCUUGAUAAGCCGGUUGUGAAAGCCCCGGGCUCAACCUGGGAACGGCAUCCGGAACUGUCAAGCUAGAGUGCAGGAGAGGAAGGUAGAAUUCCCGGUGUAGCGGUGAAAUGCGUAGAGAUCGGGAGGAAUACCAGUGGCGAAGGCGGCCUUCUGGACUGACACUGCCACUGAGGUGCGAAAGCGUGGGUAGCAAACAGGAUUAGAUACCCUAGUAGUC